RNAcentral lists this ribosomal RNA (346 nucleotides) under uncultured Pelotomaculum sp. RNAcentral describes it as "bacterial SSU rRNA". It matches the Rfam family "Bacterial small subunit ribosomal RNA", at positions 1036 to 1382 of the family's 1533-position model. The record is from RNAcentral. Lineage: Bacteria; Bacillati; Bacillota; Clostridia; Eubacteriales; Desulfotomaculaceae.
AGGUGGUGCAUGGUUGUCGUCAGCUCGUGUCGUGAGAUGUUGGGUUAAGUCCCGCAACGAGCGCAACCCCUACGUUUAGUUGCUAACGCGUGAAGGCGAGCACUCUAGACGAACUGCCGUUGACAAACGGAGGAAGGUGGGGAUGACGUCAAAUCAUCAUGCCCCUUAUGUUCUGGGCUACACACGUGCUACAAUGGCCGGUACAGACGGACGCAAAGCCGCGAGGUGGAGCAAAUCCUAAAAAGCCGGUCUCAGUUCGGAUUGCAGGCUGCAAUUCGCCUGCAUGAAGUCGGAAUCGCUAGUAAUCGCAGGUCAGCAUGCUGCAGUGAAUACGUUCCCGGGCCUU